AUUGAACGCUGGCGGCAUGCCUUACACAUGCCAGUCGAACGGCAGCACGGGUGCUUGCACCUGGUGGCGAGUGGCGAACGGGUGAGUAAUACAUCGGAACAUGUCCUGUAGUGGGGGAUAGCCCGGCGAAAGCCGGAUUAAUACCGCAUACGAUCUACGGAUGAAAGCGGGGGACCUUCGGGCCUCGCGCUAUAGGGUUGGCCGAUGGCUGAUUAGCUAGUUGGUGGGGUAAAGGCCUACCAAGGCGACGAUCAGUAGCUGGUCUGAGAGGACGACCAGCCACCCUGGGACUGAGACACGGCCCAGACUCCUAAGGGAGGCAGCAGUUGGGAAUUUUUGACAAUGGGCGGAAGCCUGAUCCAGCAAUGCCGCGUGUGUGAAAAAGGCCUUCGGGUUGUAAAGCACUUUUGUCCGGAAAGAAAUCCUUGGCCCUAAUACGGUCGGGGGAUGACGGUACCGGAAGAAUAAGCACCGGCUAACUACGUG
This 486-nucleotide ribosomal RNA is filed under the name uncultured bacterium. RNAcentral describes it as "partial 16S ribosomal RNA". It matches the Rfam family "Bacterial small subunit ribosomal RNA", at positions 30 to 507 of the family's 1533-position model. The record is from RNAcentral.